This 421-nucleotide ribosomal RNA is filed under the name uncultured bacterium. RNAcentral describes it as "partial 16S ribosomal RNA". It matches the Rfam family "Bacterial small subunit ribosomal RNA", at positions 361 to 774 of the family's 1533-position model. The record is from RNAcentral.
AUAUUGGACAAUGGGCGAAAGCCUGAUCCAGCCAUGCCGCGUGUGUGAAGAAGGUCUUCGGAUUGUAAAGCACUUUAAGUUGGGAGGAAGGGGUUGAAGCUAAUACCUUCAAUCUUUGACGUUACCAACAGAAUAAGCACCGGCUAACUCUGUGCCAGCAGCCGCGGUAAUACAGAGGGUGCAAGCGUUAAUCGGAAUUACUGGGCGUAAAGCCCGGCUUGGCGGGUCAGUUAGAUUGAAAUUAAAUCCCCGGGCUUAACCUGGGAACUGCUUUCAUAACUGCUGAGCUAGAGUACGGUAGAGGGUAGUGGAAUUUCCUGUGUAGCGGUGAAAUGCGUAGAUAUAGGAAGGAACACCAGUGGCGAAGGCGACUACCUGGACUGAUACUGACACUGAGGUGCGAAAGCGUGGGGAGCAAACA